This 30-nucleotide non-coding RNA is filed under the name Rattus norvegicus (Norway rat). Lineage: Eukaryota; Metazoa; Chordata; Mammalia; Rodentia; Muridae. The record is from RNAcentral.
UUGGACUUCUUUGGACUGGAUGCUGACAGU